UACGGGGGGGGCAAGCGUUGUUCGGAAUUACUGGGCGUAAAGGGCUCGUAGGUGGCCAACUAAGUCAGACGUGAAAUCCCUCAGCUUAACUGGGGAACUGCGUCUGAUACUGGAUGGCUUGAGUUUGGGAGAGGGAUGCGGAAUUCCAGGUGUAGCGGUGAAAUGCGUAGAUAUCUGGAGGAACACCGGUGGCGAAGGCGGCUCACUGGCCCGGUACUGACGCUGAGGUGCGAAAGCGUGGGGAGCAAACAGG
RNAcentral lists this ribosomal RNA (253 nucleotides) under uncultured bacterium. RNAcentral's name for it is "partial 16S ribosomal RNA". It matches the Rfam family "Bacterial small subunit ribosomal RNA", at positions 524 to 776 of the family's 1533-position model. The record is from RNAcentral.